This is a long non-coding RNA of Alexandromys fortis (reed vole), 779 nucleotides long. RefSeq lists it as uncharacterized. The record is from RefSeq and is a predicted model, not a curated record. Lineage: Eukaryota; Metazoa; Chordata; Mammalia; Rodentia; Cricetidae. The transcript has 3 exons.
GGGUUGAGUCGCUGCUCCACCAGAGUGUCCGCCCGCAGGAAAACCGGCCACGCCCCCGCGCCACUGCGCCUGCGCACUUCAGAACACCGGCGGGCUGGGAGCUUCUAAAUCGCCUCAAUUUGGAGUGCAGUGGGUGAAUUUCAGAGCCUGCGUGACUCCAGGAAGCAGGUGUCACUUGUGCCACCCUCUGGGAACUGAGCUGUGCCUCAUCCAGCAUCUGAAGUCGCUGCCGCUCCCACCGGGACACUCUGUCACCUUAAGAAACCCCUGUCGCUGUCUCGGAUCUUUCUUUCCCUCUGAGAAUGUUUCCGGUUGAGAUUCUGGCCCUCAGAAUCGUGACAAGCGACUGAGAGAGGCUUCCAGGACGGAGCUGACCUCAGCUGGAGCCACAAUCACACCGUUGUGCGUCACAGUCCUUCCUUCUUCAUGGCUGCUGAGGACACCUGUGCUGGCUAAUUUUCUGUGUCAACCUGACACAGGCUAGCGUCAUCAGAGAAAGGAGGAAAUGCCUCCAUGAGAUCCAGCUGUAAGGCAUUUUCUCAAUUAGGGAUCCAUGGUGGGAAGAAUCCAGCCUGUGUGGGUGGUGCCUUCCCUGGACUGCUGGUCCUGUGAAAGCAGACUGAAUAAGCCAAGGGAAGCAAGCCAGUAAGCAGCACCCCUCCAUGACCUCUGCAUCACGGAUCCUGGACCCUGCCUCCAGGAUCCUUCCCUAUUUGAGUUCCUGUCCUGACUUCCUCCAAUGAUGAACAAUGACACAGAAGUUUAAGUCAAAUAAACCC